CGGCAACAGCUCAAAUUUGAAAUCUGGCUCUUUCAGGGUCCGAGUUGUAAUUUGUAGAAGAUGCUUCGGGUGUAGCACCGGUCUAAGUUCCUUGGAACAGGACGUCAUAGAGGGUGAGAAUCCCGUCUUUGAC
Molecule: ribosomal RNA, 133 nt
Filed under: Cistella sp.
Lineage: Eukaryota; Fungi; Ascomycota; Leotiomycetes; Helotiales
Description: partial large subunit ribosomal RNA
Rfam family: Eukaryotic large subunit ribosomal RNA
Source: RNAcentral